UGUAAUAUUUCUAGAGGAAAUAUUAAUUUGGUAGUGUCCGAGGACGUAAGCUAAAUUGGCCGAACCUCGUUAAAACUCUGGUAUUUUAUUUCUUAUUUGUUUGCUUAUAUUUAAUAGCUUUAUGUUGGUUAUAUUUAUUUAGUUAUUAUUGCUAUAAAUAUCUAAGUGAGUUCUGUCUAGUUGUUGGGUUUUAAGCGGGACCAUUUGUGACCCCUCCAAUUUAACUGGGAAUUUUCUUAGUAUAAUUGUUGGCAUAAUAAUUAUCUAAAUAUUUCUGAUAAUAUUGUUAUUAAUAUUAUCGUCACUUCCGCAACAAUUGGUAUCCGAGCCAAGGUUUUGUAGUAUGCUCUGUGUUUGCAGCUUAGUCUGAUCUUACACAUCAGAAACAUUUCCGAAAGCUUGUGGGUAUUCAGCAUUUGGUGGCUAUUAAAUAGAAGCUAUGGCAAAAAUGACAGAAGAAA
This 461-nucleotide long non-coding RNA is filed under the name Gossypium barbadense (sea-island cotton). RNAcentral describes it as "long non-coding RNA (GBAR_LNC019975)". Lineage: Eukaryota; Viridiplantae; Streptophyta; Magnoliopsida; Malvales; Malvaceae. The record is from RNAcentral.